This 2153-nucleotide long non-coding RNA is filed under the name Canis lupus familiaris (dog). RNAcentral's name for it is "lncRNA (ENSCAFG00000045378.2)". Lineage: Eukaryota; Metazoa; Chordata; Mammalia; Carnivora; Canidae. The record is from RNAcentral.
CUACAGUGACCUCUCGGUGGAACCGCGUGUGGACUCUCCGCUGUGAGCUCCGCCCAGAGCCCGUCCCUGACGCCAGAGAUUCGUCAGACGCCCUCGGGUCCAGCGUGGUGCUGGUUGCUAUGGUGAUCGCGGCCACCGGCCCCGCCAGACAAGGUCGCGCAGCUCCUGGAGCCUUUGCAACCCCCGCGGGACACUCUGGAAGGAUGAGGUCCUCGCUGACAUCUUUGGGGCCGCCUGUGAGCCGGGACCGCAUCAUCACCAGCUUCCCUAAGGUUUUGCAAGAAUGUCUUUGACCGUGACUACAAGGCCACCAUCGGGGUGGACUUUGAAAUCGAGCGCUUCGAGAUCGCUGGGAUUCCCUACAGCCUGCAGAUUGAUCAUCACAGCCUUCGACCUCACUGACGUGCAGACUCUGGAGCACACCAGGCAGUGGCUGGAGGAUGCACUCAGGGAGAACGAGCCGGGCUCCUGCUUCGUGUUCCUCGUUGGAACGAAGAAGGACCUUCUGUCAGGGGCUGCAUGUAAGCAGGCAGAGGUGGAGGCUGUGCGCCUGGCCAACGAGAUGCAGGCUGAGUACUGGUCGGUGUCAGCGAAGACAGGGGAGAACGUGAAGGCGUUCUUCAGCCGUGUAGCUGCCCUGGCAUUCGAGCAGUCGGUUCUGCAAGACUUGGAGAGGAGGAGCAGCACCCGGGCCCAGGUCGGCGACGGAGACCUCAUCCGAAUGGAGGAGAGUCCACCCGAGACCCAGGAGAGCACGCCGUCCUCCAGCCUGGGUUGCUGUUAGCUGGGGCCUGCAUCAGAAGCCUCUACUCCCUGCACACACAUGGGCAGUGCCUCCCAUGACUGUGGAUGGGGUGACAUGAAGCCAUCCGUAGCUGCCCACCCACCAUGCUGAGCCCCAGAGCUCAGCAACUUCUCUUUAGCAGGUUGGGAGCCAGGAAAGGGUGGCACUGGCUGCCCAGGAGCCCCCCUUCACUGCCCCACUGGUGGGCGCACAGUGGUGACCGUCUGGAAGGCCAGUUCCACCCAGAUAGUCACCAGACAUUCCCCCCUGGCCUCGAGAGGCCUCAGAAGUGCAGACACGAGACACUUGUGUCCCACAGCCUGCAUCUCUCAGUCUUGGCACACAUUAGCUGCCCACACAGGCCCUCUGACCACUUUGCCGGGCUGGCCUCAGGAUCCUUCUCUUCUCAGUGGUCUAGGCAAGUCUUUUCUGUUAUUAGCAGGACUUGCAGUUCUCAGUCCCAGAGCCCCAGGCCUCACUGUCCACUGUCCCUCUGCCACAGACUUGUGGGAUCCCGGGUCAGCCUUGCCCCUCCGGAGGAGGAUGGACAAGAGGGUCUCUCAGGCCCCUUCUGGCCCAGGGGUCAGCUUUGGCUCCUCUUUGAUCCUUGUCCUGUUGGUCAGUGGGUGAGGAUGGGCAGAAAAGGCCAUCAUGCCCCUCUGGCCCACCUGGACAAUGAAUUUCCCCAGCUGCCCCUGGGGUACAGUACUGCUGCAUCCCUUGUGCAUGGCGCUGCCCUGCUGUUACUGGCAGUUGUCACGCAGACACUGUUGGGCUGGUAUCUGUGGUUGCCCCCACCGCCCCUCUCUCUGGUCUCCACAGGAAAGGGCCUGGAGAACAAGAAACUCUGCGUGCCUGCCUCUCAGGACCUUUGUGGUGGCCUCCUUGACUCUUUGGAGGACAUCGGAGGCCCUCCGGAGUCUGGCAAGCUCCUCAUCGACACCUCUCCAUCCUGCACAUCCAGGACAGGCAGGCACAACCCAGGCAUGCCCUCCCUAGUGCCCACUCUCUCUCUGCCCUCAGGUUGCUCUUCUAUGGGGGCUUUAACUACCCGCACCUGCCCCUGGCUGGGUGCCCACUCCUCCCCACCCAUCCCAUCCCACAAGCAGGUGGGCACAUCUGGGCAUAUCCUGCCUGCUUCUCAUAAAUGGCGAGCAUUUUGCCAACAGCUGUUCUGGUCAGUGCCCCGAACAGUACCCCAUACGGUGCUGGGCACACUGUGGGUGCCCGCUGCAUAUUCACUGGCUGGCAGCAAUUGCUAAAUGCUGGUUGGGGAAGGACACAUCUUUUUCUGUUCAGUCUCCCUUCACCACAUUUUAGCUGUUGUUUACAGAUAAAAACAAAAAACAAAACAAAACAAAAAAAAAAA